GCACUGUCUUUGAACCUUUGAAUUGCCCUUUCUGUGGCUUCAUUGGCCAAGCAUCAGUGCAAGAAAAAGCUGUAUGUUUAUAACUGGUGCUGCUUGGCACAUCCCAAGUUGCACUUUUAAAAGCAUGCUACACUC
Non-coding RNA from Pelobates cultripes (western spadefoot toad), 135 nucleotides. The record is from the annotation of a GenBank genome assembly. NCBI's taxonomy places the organism in Eukaryota, Metazoa, Chordata, Amphibia, Anura, Pelobatidae.